UUUAAAAUACAGAAGUAAUUCAUUCUUAAUGUGAUAGGAAAUUGGCUGCUCAAGUACACUGUGUUCUUGGUUAGUGCACACACAUAAGGUCAAAAUCCGCUACCCACCCCGACAAUAAGGCAAAUACCGCAGCAAACUACGAAGAAAGAGUCACUCAGUACAGUGCAACCACAGUACAGAACGUUUAUAUGAUAUUGCCUCAAUGAAUUACCAAACAAAACCUUGCAACAGUGGAGGUUACGAUUAGCACUCACCGGUUUGUUGUAAAGGUCGAACGCACGAGAGGUGUGCACAUGCGCAGCAGUGAAUAUCGUAUUUCCGGUUUCCUCAGACGCACGCACGAUGGUACGUGAUGGUACGUACGAGGUUAAUCAGCGGAGGAAAUUGAUGCAUCAUAUUCUGGUUAUGUUCCAACUUUGGGGUCACUUUGAAGAGCAGAAGUGGAGAUCAACACCAUGUUAAACACUAAAUCACUUUUAAGAUGGAGCAGCAGAGCAUGAAGGCAAGGCCACAGCAGAAGGAAGAGCGAUGAUGAGCUUGCAGAGAUGCAAAGACCAUGGAGAAGACCUACCAUACACCAGCAAGUGGUGAAAGCCGUGGACAAGACUGUGCAAAAAAAUAAAAAUAGGGAAUAAAUAAAUAAAUAAAUAUCAUUUAUUUGAGCUGAAACAACCAAGUCACUUCCUUUAACAUUGUCCCUGGACCAACAGCAUUAAAAUUGGAUCUAAAGAUAUACGUUGUUUUUUGUUCGUACCUGCUUUCGAUACUUUCAUUUUUUCUAUAAACUACUUAAACUACUUCGAUACUUUUUUCUGAUACCAGACUGGUAUUGUUUAACUAUCUAUUGCUUUAUUUUUGUAGAUUCUAUUUGCAGCAAAAGGAUAAUAAGUUAUUCUAUCACAUUGAUUAUAACAACUGUUAAUUUACAAACCUGCUGGUUUAGGGCUUGUGCUUUCAGCUAGAAGGUCCCGGGUUUGAUUCCCACCUGGACGGAGCCUUUCUGUGUGGAGUUUGCAUGUUCUCCCCGUGUCUGCGUAGGUUUCCUCUGGGUACUCCGGUUUCCUCUACCACUAAAAAAAACAUGUACAAUAGGCCAGGGUGAAUGAGUGCGAAUGUGGGAUGACGGAUGGAAAUUAGGGGGAAAAUACACUUGAGAAAAUACAACAAGCCUAAAAGCAUACAGUAUAUACACAUUGGGGUGGCAUGGUGGCUCAGUGGUUAGUGCUUCACAGAAGACCAGGGCUGCAUCCGAAACCAUUAAAUUGUAGCCUCUAAGUACUAACACUAGCAACUAAUCCUUAACCUUUCAUG
RNAcentral lists this long non-coding RNA (1311 nucleotides) under Neogobius melanostomus (round goby). Its description in RNAcentral is "lncRNA (ENSNMLG00000001535.1)". Lineage: Eukaryota; Metazoa; Chordata; Actinopteri; Gobiiformes; Gobiidae. The record is from RNAcentral.